RNAcentral lists this ribosomal RNA (483 nucleotides) under uncultured Bacillota bacterium. RNAcentral describes it as "bacterial SSU rRNA". It matches the Rfam family "Bacterial small subunit ribosomal RNA", at positions 347 to 823 of the family's 1533-position model. The record is from RNAcentral. Lineage: Bacteria; Bacillati; Bacillota.
GGCAGCAGUGGGAAUCUUCGGCAAUGGGCGAAAGCCUGACCGAGCAACGCCGCGUGAAUGAUGAAGGCCUUCGGGUUGUAAAAUUCUGUUAUAAGGGAAGAACGACUUUAGUAGGAAAUGGCUAAAGUGUGACGGUACCUUAUGAGAAAGCCACGGCUAACUACGUGCCAGCAGCCGCGGUAAUACGUAGGUGGCAAGCGUUAUCCGGAAUUAUUGGGCGUAAAGAGCGCGCAGGUGGUUGAUUAAGUCUGAUGUGAAAGCCCACGGCUUAACCGUGGAGGGUCAUUGGAAACUGGUCGACUUGAGUGCAGAAGAGGGAAGUGGAAUUCCAUGUGUAGCGGUGAAAUGCGUAGAGAUAUGGAGGAACACCAGUGGCGAAGGCGGCUUCCUGGCCUGUAACUGACACUGAGGCGCGAAAGCGUGGGGAGCAAACAGGAUUAGAUACCCUGGUAGUCCACGCCGUAAACGAUGAGUGCUAAGUGU